Molecule: ribosomal RNA, 253 nt
Filed under: uncultured bacterium
Lineage: Bacteria
Description: partial 16S ribosomal RNA
Rfam family: Bacterial small subunit ribosomal RNA
Source: RNAcentral
GACGGAGGGGGCUAGCGUUGUUCGGAAUUACUGGGCGUAAAGCGUGCGUAGGCGGCCUUUCAAGUUGGGUGUGAAAGCCCGGGGCUCAACCCCGGAAAUGCGCCCAAGACUGUUUGGCUCGAGACCCGGAGAGGUGAGUGGAACUCCCAGUGUAGAGGUGAAAUUCGUAGAUAUUGGGAAGAACACCAGUGGCGAAGGCGGCUCACUGGACGGGUACUGACGCUGAGGCACGAAAGCGUGGGGAGCAAACAGG